CUCUCCUCAGUUUCGUUGAAAAUGAAUCUGCCCGAGGAACUACACUGGGAACAACUCCUUGGGAUGUACCACUUGUACAGAGCUAAGCUUUUUGGAGUCACUGAACCUCUACAAGAAGAUGUUCAGACCCUGACAGGAGAAUUGGGUCACUACAUGGAACUGUAGUACAAGGUGAAACCACAACCUAUUGUCCUGCCAGUUUUGCUGUGUGGACUCAUAGAGCACAGAAUUGCUCUGCAGAAUUUGUUGCUUGCGGCCAUGAUCUGUGGUUGAUGCUGUUGAUGCUGUCGACUGAAGGCAAGAUACACUGUAACAGUGUCCAUGCUGUGAGCCUCCUGUGGCUGGGAGAGAUGCUUUUGUGCUCAGAGGUCAUCAGAGUCCUCCAAAUACCACUGAAGGCCUGGUGAAAAUGACUUGCUGGUGAAGAUGCUCGCUGCUGUCUGUGUUGUGGAUGCUAGCAGAGGAAGAUCUGCACCAUGGAGGAAAUAUUUAAGCUCACUGAUGAUGAAGAUGAGGCAGUAGUUGAAAGAAAUAUCUUGUCAGAAUGCACCUCGGAGACAGUCACUGCUCUGCCUCUCUACUUGAUUUGCAGCUAGCUGUAACACACAGGGCAGGCUCAGACAAGGACUGACUAUGGCUUGCAAGGGCCAAUAUCAGAGGCUAUCAUCUUGUUGCACAAUGGGAUAACAGUAUCACCCCUGUAGAGCUGCUGCAGGUUUCACUGUAGCCAGGUCUUCAUGCUCUGUUAGCAAGAGGAAUAAGCACGCUCUCCAUCAGAAUCUGUCCAGUGUGACCAGUCCCUUCUGUACAAACCUGGCCUUGCUGAAGGAUUCAAAUGUCACACUAGAUCCUGCUCUGCGAUGAACUACAGUAAAUGAGAUCUGCCAAUCUAGAUAACCUCUAAAACCACAUUGCCCUCUGUUUUAACCCACUUAGUAACAGAUCCUUCUACUAAUACUGUACUUAGCAGUAUCACAUUUUAUAUUUGACUCCUUAAAUGGACUAAAUGCAGCUGUCUUAAACAUUUCAAUGUGAAAUAAUAUGUCUCUUGCCUGUACAUCAACGCUCUUUCCAUUACUUCCAUUAAAAGUCUGAUUAUUCAGUUC
Lepisosteus oculatus (spotted gar) is the source of this 1106-nucleotide long non-coding RNA. RefSeq lists it as uncharacterized. Lineage: Eukaryota; Metazoa; Chordata; Actinopteri; Semionotiformes; Lepisosteidae. The record is from RefSeq and is a predicted model, not a curated record.